Zalophus californianus (California sea lion) is the source of this 3494-nucleotide long non-coding RNA. RefSeq lists it as uncharacterized. The record is from RefSeq and is a predicted model, not a curated record. The transcript is spliced from 3 exons. NCBI's taxonomy places the organism in Eukaryota, Metazoa, Chordata, Mammalia, Carnivora, Otariidae.
AGAACAAAGCCCACCCCCAAGCGUCACUUUCUGGUCGCCAGAGUCAUGGACUGUCCCAUAGCGAGUCCCCCCAGCACAGCUGCCUGGAUGGGUAGGAAGCAGGGUUUCUUCAGAAACAGGCCUGGCUUUCUUAGGACCCCAGAACCUCAGCCCUGGGAGGGGCCUGGGGGAAGCACAGUUCCAGCUGAAGUUGUUCCGAUGAGGAAACCAGCUCAAGCAUGAAUGGGCAGAGGAAGCGCCAGGAACAAGCAGGAUGAGAAAUCAGGUCUCCUGACUUCCUGCCUUCUGUAUUUUCCACUUCACCCUGACACCUCUUUCCUGUUGGGAAGUUUUACUUCUUUAGCUCCACGGAAAUAAACUGUAUCUGUUGCAGCUAAUUGCUGUGUUGCUCUACAUUCUUUCCACUUUUUGGCACUUGCCUCAUGCACACGCAUACAUGAAUCCAAGCUAUAGCCUGAGCACCUCGUUAAGGGUACGAUCCCAUGGGCUGUUUCUGGGCUCCAGGCUGUUUCCUAGGGCCCCAGAGGGGGGUGGCCAGGAUCCACUCUCAUUUAUGAACCAGUGAUGCUGUGUAGCCCUUUUGUUAGCAAGCACAUUCUCAUGCCUCGCGGGCAGGAACUUGUUCCCCAGUGAGGAUGGGGUUAAUAGGAUUGCACACAGGAUCUGCCCUACAACUCCUGUCCGUCUACACACACACAGCCAGACUGAGCAAAGGAAGUUCACAAGCUGGACCUAAAGGUUAACAGGAGGUGCAAUGUAUAACUGGAAUUUUCUUUAGUGCUAUCUAGAAAUUUCAUAUUCUAUGCCCUGCUUGUCCAGACUUUUUCUUCUAGCUGCUGAAUGAAUAAAACCCAGUGAUUGGGAAUAAAACCCAAUGAAUAAAACCCAGUAUCCCGCUCUUCACAACUCUUGUGUGGACAAACAGCAAGUGACUCCAAAAACCAGAUUAAUUCUUUCUGGGGAUAUAUGUCAUGCAUGUGGAAGGGUAGCAUCUGUCAUUUUCUGGGUGUUCUUUCAAAGUCUUAGUUUUUUGUUGUUUUGUGAAGGGCACCUAUCACUUUUAUAAUAAAAACUGUAACAAAUAAUGUAUACACGUAGCCACAAUAUAUAUGUAGGUAUGCAGGGCAGAGGUGAUAUUAUUCCCAAACCUGUAUAAACCACAGCUUGGAAUUUGUACUGAACUCCACCAAUUAUCCAGAAUUGUCUGUAGUUUCAGCUUCCAGGGAGCAUAGAGUGCUUUUGGAGGUCGGUAAAAAGAAAAGUCAUUUAACUGGGUGUUUUUCAAAUUUUUAGCCAAGAAUCUCCAUUAAGAGAUCCAUUUUAAACUGAAAAACGAAACAAAAGAAAAAGUCGGACGUGACCCAGUAAGGGAUUUCACAACACUAACGGGUUGUCUAGUUCAAGAGUUCAGACCCCGUGAUAGGCCAAAUUCGGCUGUUUGAAAGAAACUGACGGCGGAUUUCCCGCCCCAGGGGAAGCGAGGAAGGAGUCGGGCAUCCUGCUAUAUCCCGGGAAAAUUUCCGAGGGCAAACUACCCUAGCGCAGGGGCGGCAUCCUGAGCGCCAACCUUGGAUCGGUCGGAGAAGACCCGGGAAGGCCGGGGUCCCGGAGGGGUUGGAGUAAUCUGAUGUGCUCUUUUUCUGGUCCAGAUUCCAGCUGGACAUGACAUCACCACACAGGAAAUGUUCAUGUGAUCUCCCUGUAUGACUUGGUGGCUGCUAGCUAAAAGAUGCCAUUGUCUGAGCCAUGGUCUGACACAGGGAAUGACAUCAAUAGACAUUGGGUGACUUGUAUGGAGACUCCUCUUCACGUCAAUGGUAUUGCUCUUGGUAUUCACGAGUUCUACAAAACCAACAGUAAUUCCAUUCAAAGGACUUCUAGACUUCUCUAACACUGCCUAAGAUUUUAUACAAUAUCUCUGUCGUUAACCAAGCCAUGAAAACAUGUUAUUAGAAUGCCAUUAUUUAGUAAGUGGCUUCAUCUUGUUGAUUUUUGUUCAUUUUCAAGGCAUGGAACAUAAUUCAAUAACAUGAAAUAGUGUAAAACAUUGUUCUGUUUUUUCACUUUUGUCAUCAAGCCGCAAGUGCAUUGUAAUGUGAUUGGUUAGACAUAAUCAAUGGGAAAAAAUAGUUUUCUCCUGGAGUUGAUGUUCAUUGUGUAUAUCGACAGAUGGUGUUUCCUGUACCUUCAUUUCAAGUGUGCCUUCUCCUUCAAGCUCAGUUUAUUUUAAAUAGUUGGUCACUUUUACAGUUUAUGGAAUUAAUCUGUCAUUUUUAAUAACUGAAACUGUUCUUUCUGAUACAAUCAAAAGAAGUAUUGGCACUUCUCCUAGACUAUAAUUUAUAAUUUCCAAAUCUCUCUUUUAGAUGUUUUUAAAUGGUUUUCGUUUCCAAAAUUUUAAAGACUUCCAUUCCAGUUGUGCAUUACAGUGAAUAUACAAAGUGUGAUGCAGUUUUCACACUGCUUUUCUAGCUCAAGCCCUACAGACUGCCCAUUAAGGCUUGACCAGUCUUCUUAUUUCAGUUCCCAGCUUGUCAGGUGCAUUAGACAUUUUAUUUUAUUUUAUUUUUAAAAGAUUUUAUUUAUUCAUUUGAGAGAAAGGGAGGCAGAGGGAAAGGGAGAAGCAGGCUCCCUGCCCAAUGUGGGACUCAAUCCAUGGACCCUGGGAUCACGACCUGAGCCUAAGGCAGAUGUUUAACCUUAACCAACUGAGCCACCCAGGCGCCCCUGUCUUUCUUUCUUCUUAGAUUCACUCUCCAGCAAGAUGGGGAAUUUACAAACCUGAGUCGUUUGUGACUGAAUAGCUCCCAUUACUUUAAAAAAACAUUCUCACAGUCUUCCUGAAGUUUCACCCUUGCAAUCAGCCUGAGAUCUGAUUCAGAGUCAGUGGAUAUUUUAUUCUAAUAAUACAGGUUCAAAAUGAUGCUCAGGGAGGCUGUGCCCUGAGUCAGGCAGAAUGGGAGGUGGGCAGCCAGGUGGAGGGGAGAAGGCUGGUCUUCGGGUGUAGGACCUCACACUGUAGUUUCCACUAAAGCAGAGCUUCUGAGCGGGCAUCGAAUUCUCACUCUGAGAAGUUUUAUAUUGUAUUUUAUUUAGAUGAUCAUGUUAUGCAUCAUAUGUGCACUUCAGUCUUCUGUGUAUUUUUUGUGCUUAUUAUUGGGGUAUGCCAAAUAAUUCUCCCAAGAAAAGAGUAGAGGGGGACUUCCAAUUCCUUGAUUUAUUUAUGCUAUUAAUUAACAAAUAUUUAUUGAGCACUUUCUAUGUGAAGGUGUUGUGGUAGGUGCUGGCAGAUGGUGGGACAGUGUCCUGUGAAGGGAAGCUUGGCAGUGAUCUGAGCAAACCCAGAGUUCUCAUAAGGCAAGUCAGAAUCUUGCUGCAAGCCACAGUUUAACUUGAGCAAGCAUCAUCUACAUGAAAUUGAUGCUGUUAACUCGAAUUUAGUGGCUGUUUCCAGUUUUGUUUAUAUGUUGUGUAAAUUUGAAAAAAUAGUUGUA